UUUACCUGAAAGAGAAAAAACGGUUCUUUCUGAAGCCCACUGAUACCAAGAGAGUGUCCUGGAUGACCAUGUCACUGUCCCCUCUUGGCCUUUUGUACAUGCCCAUGUGAUUUUUACUGUCUCCCUAACAUUGUUUACCCAUUAUUUUCCCCACUAUCUCAUCUACUCAUCCAACCUUCCAUCUGCUAGCGAUAUUAAGGAAAAUUCUGGGGGAUGCAAUAAUGUCCUUGAGGGUGUGUGUGUGUGUGUGACUUAAUAAAAUGGACAUUUCACACCACCAAAAACUAAAUCUAAAUAACAGUCAUUCUUCAAAAUAUGCAGUAGCCUUUCUAAAACCAUGCAUAACUGGCUGUGCUCAAAUAAAGCAGUUUCCUCCCUUUGGGAGGCAGGUUAAUAGUAGUAACAAUUCACAUGGAUCACUCAGUUAUUCUUCAGAAGUACCAUCACUGUUUCCAUUCUGUACAUAAGGAAGCCGGGGUCAGGGUGAUUAAGUGACUUGCUCAGAUCCCAGGAUGAGGAAGAGGAGAGCCAGUAUUUACACCUAGAAGAACAAGAAUCUAUUUUUCAAGUAUACAGGUCAAGAAAUGGAAGGUUGACUCUUGGGGAAAAAAAUCUUUGUUAAAAGUAAAGGGUAUUUGUUUCUGUUAAGGCCUCAAAAGUUGUCUGGGGAUCAGACUGGCUGGUCAGAAGAAAGCAGCAUGCUCCCAUUAGGGCACAGGCCCCCCCAGCUGGGACGUGAGAUGUGCACAGAGGACCAUUAGCCACACAGGGAAGGCUAACUGCAGAGAAAGCGCACAGGAGCCAGGAAAGCAAAGCAGCUCGGAACGGGGUCUCCGUGAAGACUGCUAGGCCCUGGGUCCCCACACUGCCACAGGCUCGUGGGGUCGUGGAUUGCUGAACCUCAAGAGAAACCUUGGGAAAGGCCUUCAAAUGAGAAUCACCCUUCCCCACCUCCACACCCUGUACCUUGGCUGGCAGCUUUACUGUGAAGAGUGGCCUGAGACUGCACUCCAUCCCAAGGAGUGAGG
This is a long non-coding RNA of Manis javanica (Malayan pangolin), 1028 nucleotides long. RefSeq lists it as uncharacterized. Lineage: Eukaryota; Metazoa; Chordata; Mammalia; Pholidota; Manidae. The record is from RefSeq and is a predicted model, not a curated record.